CAGAAGUCCUAGCUGGUUACCUUCACAGCUGCUUGCAAAACAGAGAAAUUCUACAUCCACUCACAGCAGCCAUGUCCACAGGGUGCUCCAGACGGCCAGGAAGUUAAAGUCACGCCACCUGGCUGUGGAGAUCAAUGAGGCUGAAGUGCAACAGGAGCAGCAGGAAUCCCUCCUGGGAGAUCUCCAGGAUGACAUUCCCCCAGGUGACAGCCUACCAGGCCCGUGGAAAGCCCUGGCUAGUAACCUCACAGCUGCAGUGUGGCAAAUCAAACAGAGCUGGAGUUGUCUGGUAGAUCCUUGGAGCAGGUGCUGCUGCCCCACAUGGACACCUUCCUGCAAGUGCAUUUCGGCCCCAUCUGAAAGAGCUUAAAGGAAAGCUUGCAUGGCUUUUCCCCGGACAUAACAAAUCUGUUUCUUGAUGUGGAGGCCAACACCAGGCCAUCACGAUGGUCCAGGAUAGUGCUGUGGCCAGGGCUGACUGCCAGGAGCUUGGUGGUAAAUUUGAAGCCAAGAUCCAGGAAAAUGCUCAGAGAGUGGGCCAGCUGUGAAAGGAUGUGGAGGACUGACGGCAUGCUCGGUGCUCUUCCCUGUACACUCCCUCUCUGAGGUCCAGGCUGAUGUGGACACCAAAUUGAAGAGGCCAAACCCAGGAGGCCCCAAGGACUAAUGGCAGCUGCGUGUUGAUGACGGCAGGGGCUGGGGCAAGGCCUGAACUGGAGAGCCUGCAGGCCAGGCUGGCCAACUGCAGAGGAACCUCUGGGUGCUGCACAUGGACUCAGCCUGCAGGGAGGAGGAAUUGCAAAACACCCCUCAGGGAUAUGAGGGCUACCCUGACCCGGCACGUGGAUGAGAUGAAGGAGCUGUGCUCCGAAUUGGACGAGACCUUCCAUCAGAUCAGCAAAAUGGAGCCAGAGAUGGAGGUGAACCACAGGGCGCUCUGUGAGCUGUGUGUGGUCCUGAUGAAGCCUUUAAUUAUGGAGGCAAACAAGGUGGAGGUGGAGUAGCAGCUCCUGGAGCUCAGCCUCACCCUGCAGCACCUGUGGGGCGACCACACUGACCUCAUCAAGUAUGUCAAGGAGGCAGCUGCCACAAGCUCUACUUUCACUUGGAGGCCGUCCGGGAGUGCCACGGGGACACCACGCACCCUGAAGGAGACCCAGGGGAGCCUGGAUGGCGGCGCCAGCUGCACAGCUCCUAGGCUGCCCUGAUGGAGGCCUGCUGGCCUCCCUCUCUGGGGAGGAGGUGAUGGAGGAGAGGUCAAAGGAGGCGCACGGCCAGCUUCCCCUGCCCGUGAGCAGAUCUGCCUGGCCCUGAAGGAGCAGGUGCUCGGUUGGGACUCGCUGGCUACCCGGGUGGCAGCCCUGGAGCAGGCCACGAGUGGGCCGUGGCUUGGAGCCCCCAUGGCCGGCAGAGCACUUGGAGCUGGCGACCACUUGGGCCCAGAAGAAGCUGUGUGAAGCCCUGGCUGGGCUGGCUCAGGAGCUCCAGCUCCUGAGAUCUGACUUCAGUGGCUCGGGUGGUGCUGCAAGGCUGCCCAGCCACCUCUCUCACCUGCCUCGGGGCCUCCAUGGUCCGCCUCCGAGUGCAGCUUGGACUGCACCAGCUGCUCCUCCUUGGAAACUUCCAAGAGCUGGUGACAGCAGUGUCAGCCUAAAUCUGGGGAAGCUGGAAACCGUGCCCAGCAGGAAAAGGAAGCAGAAGCAGAAAGGCCCAGAAGUUCCCCGGAAGAGGGACAGGAAAGAAGCUGAGCCUUUGCCAGACACACACAUCAAAGGGCCAGUGCCAGAUGCCUUGAACACUGAGCUCUGGCAGGCAGGCUCCCCUGUGGCCUUCUAUGCCAGUUUCUCAGAAAGGACAGCUGCCCUGCAGACAUGGAAGUUCAACACUAGCUACAUCGACACUGACAGCAGCAACUUCCCUGAACAUGGCUACUACCAAGCCGGAGUUUGGUGUCCCAUUUGCAGUGAGCAUUGAAUUUGGCCCAGGGCCAGGAACCAGGCACCUGGUGUUUGGAGGGCUCCAUCAGGGACCCUGGGCGGGAAGCACAGCAGCCACCUUUGCCAUGGCUGAGCUGCGAAAGGGUGAGAGAGUGUGGUUGGAGUUAACCCAGGCAUUGGUAACAAACAGAAACCAGCGAGGCACUGCAUUUGGGGGCUUCCUGAUGUUCAAGACAUGA
This 2176-nucleotide long non-coding RNA is filed under the name Homo sapiens (human). Its description in RNAcentral is "non-protein coding lnc-ULBP2-25:4". Lineage: Eukaryota; Metazoa; Chordata; Mammalia; Primates; Hominidae. The record is from RNAcentral.